CCCACAAGGCCUUUACUGACGCUAAAGCUCGAAGGUGCGGGUAUCGAACAGGAUUAGAUACCCUGGUAGUCCGCACGGUAAACGAUGGAUGCCCGCUGUUUGCGAUAUAUUGUAAGCGGCCAAGAGAAAUCGUUAAGCAUCCCACCUGGGGAGUACGCCGGCAACGGUGAAACUCAAAGGAAUUGACGGGGGCCCGCACAAGCGGAGGAACAUGUGGUUUAAUUCGAUGAUACGCGAGGAACCUUACCCGGGCUUGAACUGCAGCGGAAGGAAACAGAGAUGUUGACGCCCUUCGGGGCCGCUGUGGAGGUGCUGCAUGGUUGUCGUCAGCUCGUGCCGUGAGGUGUCGGCUUAAGUGCCAUAACGAGCGCAACCCUUUUCGCCAGUUGCCAUCAGGUGAUGCUGGGCACUCUGGGGACACUGCCACCGUAAGGUGUGAGGAAGGUGGGGAUGACGUCAAAUCAGCACGGCCCUUACGUCCGGGGCUACACACGUUUGACGGGGGGUGGUACAGAGAGCCGGCAACCCGCAAGGUCCGUCCAAUCAAAAAAGCCAUCCUCAGUUCGGAUUGGGGUAUGCAACCCGACCCCAUGAAGCAAGA
This 601-nucleotide ribosomal RNA is filed under the name uncultured bacterium. RNAcentral describes it as "bacterial SSU rRNA". It matches the Rfam family "Bacterial small subunit ribosomal RNA", at positions 725 to 1330 of the family's 1533-position model. The record is from RNAcentral.